Molecule: ribosomal RNA, 649 nt
Filed under: uncultured bacterium
Lineage: Bacteria
Description: bacterial SSU rRNA
Rfam family: Bacterial small subunit ribosomal RNA
Source: RNAcentral
GGCUAAACCCGCGUACAUGCCACCGGGGCAUCCCGGAGGCAGGAAAGGCUUCGGCCGGACAGGAAUGGGCACGCGGCGCAUUAGGCAGUAGGCGGGGUAACGGCCCACCUAACCGACGAUGCGUAGGGGUUCUGAGAGGAAGGUCCCCCACACUGGUACUGAGACACGGACCAGACUCCUACGGGAGGCAGCAGUGAGGAAUAUUGGUCAAUGGUCGGGAGACUGAACCAGCCAAGCCGCGUGAGGGAUGAAGGUACAGAGUAUCGUAAACCUCUUUUGUCAGGGAACAAAGGCGGGGACGUGUCCCCGGAUGAGUGUACCUGAAGAAAAAGCAUCGGCUAACUCCGUGCCAGCAGCCGCGGUAAUACGGAGGAUGCGAGCGUUAUCCGGAUUUAUUGGGUUUAAAGGGUGCGCAGGCGGUCUGUUAAGUCAGCGGUCAAAGCCCGGGGCUCAACCCCGGCCCGCCGUUGAAACUGGCAGUCUCGAGUUGGAGAGAAGUAUGCGGAAUGCGCGGUGUAGCGGUGAAAUGCAUAGAUAUCGCGCAGAACUCCGAUUGCGAAGGCAGCAUGCCGGCUCCACACUGACGCUGAGGCACGAAAGCGUGGGUAUCGAACAGGAUUAGAUACCCUGGUAGUCCACGCAGUAAACG